GACGAACGCUGGCGGCGUGCUUAACACAUGCAAGUCGAACGGAAAGGCCCUGCUUUUGUGGGGUGCUCGAGUGGCGAACGGGUGAGUAACACGUGAGUAACCUGCCCUUGACUUUGGGAUAACUUCAGGAAACUGGGGCUAAUACCGGAUAGGAGCUCCUGCUGCAUGGUGGGGGUUGGAAAGUUUCGGCGGUUGGGGAUGGACUCGCGGCUUAUCAGCUUGUUGGUGGGGUAGUGGCUUACCAAGGCUUUGACGGGUAGCCGGCCUGAGAGGGUGACCGGCCACAUUGGGCCGGAGAUACGGCCCAGACUCCUACGGGAGGCAGCAGUGGGGAAUAUUGCACAAUGGGCGGAAGCCUGAUGCAGAAACGCCGCGUGCGGGAUGACGGCCUUCGGGUUGUAAACCGCUUUCGCCUGUGACGAAGCGUGAGUGACGGUAAUGGGUAAAGAAACACCGGCUAACUACGU
RNAcentral lists this ribosomal RNA (467 nucleotides) under uncultured bacterium. RNAcentral's name for it is "partial 16S ribosomal RNA". It matches the Rfam family "Bacterial small subunit ribosomal RNA", at positions 28 to 506 of the family's 1533-position model. The record is from RNAcentral.